UAGGGAAUAUUGCACAAUGGGCGCAAGCCUGAUGCAGCCAUGCCGCGUGUAUGAAGAAGGCCUUCGGGUUGUAAAGUACUUUCAGUCGGGAGGAAGGUGGUAAGGUUAAUAACCUUAUCAAUUGACGUUACCGACAGAAGAAGCACGGGCUAACUCCGUGCCAGCAGCCGCGGUAAUACGGAGGGUGCAAGCGUUAAUCGGAAUUACUGGGCGUAAAGCGCACGCAGGCGGUUGAUUGAGUCAGAUGUGAAAUCCCCGGGCUUAACCCGGGAAUUGCAUCUGAUACUGGUCAGCUAGAGUCUUGUAGAGGGGGGUAGAAUUCCAUGUGUAGCGGUGAAAUGCGUAGAGAUGUGGAGGAAUACCGGUGGCGAAGGCGGCCCCCUGGACAAAGACUGACGCUCAGGUGCGAAAGCGUGGGGAGCAAACAGG
RNAcentral lists this ribosomal RNA (429 nucleotides) under Chloroflexota bacterium. RNAcentral describes it as "Chloroflexi bacterium partial 16S ribosomal RNA". It matches the Rfam family "Bacterial small subunit ribosomal RNA", at positions 355 to 776 of the family's 1533-position model. The record is from RNAcentral. Lineage: Bacteria; Bacillati; Chloroflexota.